Balaenoptera ricei (Rice's whale) is the source of this 4237-nucleotide long non-coding RNA. RefSeq lists it as uncharacterized. The transcript has 2 exons. Lineage: Eukaryota; Metazoa; Chordata; Mammalia; Artiodactyla; Balaenopteridae. The record is from RefSeq and is a predicted model, not a curated record.
CCCUGCAGAGGCUUGUGGGUGGUGCCCCCUCCCUUUCUGACCCCGAAGAAGCCUUCCUGCGCAUGUGCAGACAGGGCAGCUUCCCGGACCCCGGGAGGGGUCGUCUCAUCGCUGUAUCCCAGCAGAGCUCAGCUUCUGCCACCAGCUUUGUCCUUGGAGCGUCUGGGUGAGAACAAGCUUAGUGCUCCUCCACUGGGCGAACCCCAGCUGUCCAGCGCGGGGGCCCGUCCAUCUCCUGCGUCACCCUGAGGCUCUAGGGGAGGAGCCUCCCUGCCUCCCCUGCCGCCCCAGCCUCUGGUGCUGCCGGCGCCCGUGGUGUCCUGGGCCGGUAGCCGGCCUCUCCAUCCUCGGCCAGCGCAAGGGCGGAUGUGCUGCUUCACGAGUGUGAAGGUGGGGCAGGAUGCUGGGCCACAGGGACACACUUUCAGACGUCUGGGCUUUGCGGCACUGGGUAAAUUCUUACGCGUCCAAGAAGGGAUGAGGUUAUGUGCUGGUUGUUGUUUGAGGGACCGAGAGCUGGGGGCCUGCUGAGCGUUCAGAACAACGGGAUGGAUGAGUGAAAUGUGGUGGGCACAGUGGCGGGGACCAGAUACGCAGACAGCAACGUGGAAAGAUGGUGAAAGGCAGGGUUUGAUGAGAAAACGGAGAGGAAAUAGACUGAGAUGUGGAAACACAAUACCCCUGGUGGGACUGGAAAACACACACAAAACAAUCCUACACAUUUUGCAAGGAUACGUGUCUAUUUAAAGAUAAAUAUCAGACAUGCUGGAGAGGGGGCACCUGGGGAGGGGGGGUGCAGAAGAGUGAAAUGAACAGAAGUUGCCCAGACCGUGAUGACGUGUCUCAGAAUGAACAUCUGAUGAACUCACCUUUACGCUCGUUGUAAUGAGGUCCCAGUAACAAGAGAAGUGUCUUCCGGGGCUCGAGGCCACACCUGAGCUUCUCAGGGAGCGGGGGCUGCUUCCCACCCCCGGUUCUCAAAGUGGGGUCCCUGGAGCCGCGUCUGCAGCACCUGGGAACUUGUUAGAAACGCCAAUUAUUAGUAUGAGUAUUUUAAAGCACUUUUUAUUGUGACAAGAACUCUUAAUGUGAGAUCUACACUCUUCACACGUGUCUUUAGUGCUGAGAAGUCUGGUCAAGCACCCUGCCCAUUUUUCUAUUUAACUUUUGUUGAUUUGUAGAUGUUCUUUAUAUACAUUUUGGUUGUGGUUCUUCAUUAUAUGUAUUAAAAUAUCUCUUGCCCUAAAAACAAAGAAAAGAAAUGCAAAUUCUGGCCUCACGUGGCUUGGAAGCUCCAAGGGUGGGGUGGCCUGGCUCUCACACAGGCCCCCAGGGCGAGCGGCACUGGUUUGGAGGUGCCAGCGAGCUUGGGGCCCUCCCGCCGCGGGCUGGCAGGGGGCGCUGUCUCGGUCGGCGCCUGAAGUCGCGGUAGAGAGUUUGUUAAGAGGCAUCGCUUUGCCUACCGGUUGGCGUGGGGCAGACAUAGACCUGCUCUUACUGCAAGGGGCACGAGGUUGCCUAAAGCCCUUACGCUUCGCUUUGUGGGGUGGACCCGAAGUUAAAUAAGAGGACAUCCUGAGGGGGCUGGGGACGGGAAGACUGGAAACGUCCGGCUGGAGAUGGGGGGCGGCCAGCUGGGCGGUAAGGACGGGGUCAGGGCCCCACUAGCCAGACCCGAGGCUUUUAGGUCUGCCUUUGAGCAGCAAGGUGGGGUCUCGGGUCUGGAGGAUCCUGCCGCCCAUUUCCCCUUGCAGGGGCGGCGGCUCUCCCAGAGGAUGUCGUCACUCAUUCCCGCAGGCCUGAGCUUCCCCGGGACGAGGUGGGCCCUGCACGGAGUCGCAGAUACUGAGACCCCCACCAGGUGUCAGAAGUUAACUGUAUGCUGCCCACAAGCACGGAGACCCCAGACCGGCUGGAACCUGAAGGUCGAUGGUGCCGACUCCCGAUUACCUCACCACCAACCAAUCAGAAGAAGGCCCGUGGGCUGAUCACACCCUCCUCUUUGAACCGUUGCUAUAAAGCUCCUCCCUACCCCCUCCAGGUCGGGACACACAGUCUUGAGGGCAGGAGCCCGCUGUGGCCCCCUUUGCCUGGCAAAGCAAUCAAGCUAUUUCUUUUCUCCGUCACCCAGAACUCUGUCUCCGCAUUUCUAUUUGGCACUGGUGCACAGAGGCCGAGUUUCAGCAGCACUCCUCACCUGUCACUCCUCAGGCCCGAGGCCCCAGGCCAGCCUGCCUUUCUCUCUGCACCCGCCAGGGUCUCUCUCUGGAAUGUUCUGAGUUUCUGGCUGUACUUGUGGGAGGAGGGGAGGACGAGGGGCAGCCGGACUGCCGUGCGGUCCUGAUGGUGGGCACAGGGUCUUCCCUCCUGCAGCCCCACAGCCCUGCCCAGAAACAGGAGCGAGCCCGCCACAAGGAUGUCCCUGUUUCUGCAGGCACGCUGGGAGCAGAUCCCACUGCUGUGGCUUCCGGACCCUGCGCUGGACACCCCGUGAAGGCGGGGUCUCAGGUGAGAAAGGACAAAACCUGGAGCCCACUCAACUGUAACCUUCAGGAGGAAAACAACACUGGUUUUGAUAUUCAUCACUUGGAAGCUCGGGGCCAGGCGAAGCUGCGCUGAGAUGAGUGAUGCCUGCGGGGUGAGAACACUAUCAGCCACCAGUUAGUCGCUGGAGGAAGAUCACCCCGGCCACCUGCAUUAGCCCAGAUAAGCCAUUUGAUUUAAUUUUAAAAUGUCUAUCGGGUGCUUAAAAGAGCAAGAAGGAAUAACAAACAAGGCAUCUCCUCUUAUUUAUCCCUGAGCGGUUACCCCUGCGACUUAUCAAGGCUGUCAGUUGAAUUAACUUCGGCCUGGGCAGCAGUUCUUAUCAAGAAGAGGGAGUAGCACGGGUGGGCCGGACCCUGCAGGUCCCUCUCCGUUCACGCGGCUGUGGCUCUUCUGGGGCCCAGCGGCUUGGGGGGCUCAUGCUCCAUCGGCCCUAUCUCCAGCACGCAGCCCUCGGCCGCCCUCUCCUCUUCCCUCCUCAGACCCCGAGCCCCUGGGGCUGGUCCCUCCUCCUGCUUCCCGGAGCCCAAUGCACGUGAGGGCGUCCGAGCUUGACUGCGCUCCCCGGGUCCGGGCGCCCGAGGAACGGAACGUGGCCGCUCUAAACACCUCUGUGCGCUGGAGACCCCUCCUCGGAGUGGGGGACACGCAUCUCAGCCAGUUCGAGGGGCUCCUCAUCCCCCUCCCCUGGGCCCGAGUUCCCAUGGCCGCACAGGGCGUGACAGGAGCCAGAAGAGGGCCAGCCCGGUCGCGGGAGGUGACAGUGCCAGCAUGUGGCAGCCGUUCUCAGGGCCUGUGACCGUGAGGGGGAGACACCACAUCUUCGUCCUCAGUAACUUCUAAAUGGAAAGCAGUGUUUCCUUCAGUUAUAGACAUACUCGGUUCUCAUCACCUGCAGGAGUCCCGCGCUGUGAAGUCACAUGAACGCGGAAUUAGUGGUUACCAAACCUGCUCCAGGGAAAAUGCGGGGUUAGGUAGGGUCCUGGGAGCCUCUGGGCACGAUAUUUUGUCAACCGAUCGAUAGACAACUUUAUUCGAUGUGUUUCUGUUUAAAGACACCUCAUUUAAUCUACAUUGUUGACUCAUAACGUGGACCUCGGGCCCACAGCGCUGUGAUCACGCUGGAACCAAGCCCGUCUCACACGCACCUUCUCCGUGUCACGGCACAGCUUUCUUGUCCUUAGGACACUGGAUGGCACUUCAGCUCCGAACUUGGGGCCAUUUUAAACAGCAAAACCACCAACAAAACACAACAGUGCGAAAAGCCCUAAACAGAUGCAAAGGGCACCUGCUCCCGGCCCCAGAGCUGACUCGAGACAGCGUCACCUGGCUCCGCCCCCGCCGGGAACACGCACGUCGGGCCAGCCACGUCUCUCCUGCUCUGCCACGCUCUGAGCACCCACGAAAGCACCCAACUCUUGAUGUUGGGGUCACAGGGAGAUUUAACAAGCAGGUGAAUCACAGAUACAGAAUCUGCGAAUGACACGGGCGGCUGCGCGGCGGCAAACCUCGGCUUUGUUAGGAGCCUGUGGGUGGCGAUGUGUCAGCGGAAAUCUCAGAGUUUCAAUCCGCAACAUUGCCGCUGCUGCAGAAAUCUCCCGCCUCAUCACGGCUGUGACACUGAGGAGCUCUCGCGCCCGCGGCUGCAUCUUCGUAGCUGAAGCUCAAAUAAAUCAGGCGAUUCUGUCUGUCA